UUUGUAAGAAGUGUUAAUAAUUUAAUUUAUUUAUGCAUCGAGAUUUUGGGCACUAUUAAUAUGGAAUUAUAUAAAACCUCGAUUAUUUAUAUCGAAAUCCGGACAUAGGGAUUUUGUGUUGGCUUUGGAACAAAAGGCUAUUUUAUUUUAUUUUUUUUCCCGUUCUGAGGAUAGUCUAAAGAAAAAAAAAACGCACCUACCUAUCACUUAGCGGAGGGGACUAAGUGGAGCCGGUGAUGACUCAUUAGCUUAGGAAACCCUAUUAAGCUGAAAAGCGGUAGCUUCCAUCUGUCCCAGGUGAAGUUAAUGUCAGCUGUAAUUUAUUCACCGUAGUAAUAAGGGCUCCUUUCAGGCGACACACACACUUUAUUUCGUCCUCACCUUCUCCUGCCGACGAGCUUAGCGCACCGAAACAGCACCCGCACCCUCUCCUUUCGCCACCGACUCUAGAGAAAGCGCCUUAUGUUUCAUAAUAAAGAAGAUUUGGGGUUGACACAGACCAUGUAUAAUACUUUGUACUUGCCGAGACGUGUAAAUAAACGUUUUCUUUAAAAACGCCUCUCCGCUCCCUGCGUGCCUCGGGGCGCCGCCGCCGCACCGGGACCGGGACGGGGACGGGGACGGGGACCGGAGCCGGGCUGGAAACGGCGGGGCCGAGCCGGAGUGAACAAAUCCGUUUUGAGGCGAUUUCUGUGCCCCGGCUGGAGCGUAGGCUGAACCGCGCAUGGAAAUAGAUGAGGACAAAGUGAAGCAGCCAAGCCAAGUCCCACACCUGUAACUCUUCCUGAGCCCACCAGGCAGGGGGAGAGCUCAGCUGCUCCCAGC
This 825-nucleotide long non-coding RNA is filed under the name Anas platyrhynchos platyrhynchos (common mallard). RNAcentral describes it as "lncRNA (ENSAPLG00000019766.1)". The record is from RNAcentral. Lineage: Eukaryota; Metazoa; Chordata; Aves; Anseriformes; Anatidae.